CCGCGGCGGCGGCGGCGGCGGGAGCCCCGGCGGCGGCGGCCGCCUCCUCGUCGUCGUCGCCCGGCGAUGGCGGCCCUAUCUUGCUGCAGUCAUAAACCAGGCAGUACCUCAACUAAGCCCCCAAAGAGUCAGCCAUGCCCAGUCUCACCGAGAACUGUGGGGAGCAGUAAGUAAAGAAUGAGGUGGCAGGGAGAUCGGAUAAAGUUUCGAGAAUACUGAAGACAUUUUUUUACCUGCUUUGAAGGAAUAGAAUUUCUCUAACUUCUAAGAUUGCUACAAUGCUACAUGGUCUCUUCACUCUUAUUUCAACCUAGGAACUAAAGAAGUACAGUUCUACACACACGUAUAUCUCUGUCGAUUUUGUGUUGUGCAAUAAUAUUCCUGAAGCGGAUGCUUUGUAAAGAGAGGUAUACGUAGCUCACAGUUUGGGAGACUGAAGGCCAGCACUGGGCAUCCUCCUCUUUUCCUCCAGGGACUCUACCCUGCUGCACCACAGCCUGGCAGACCAGCAGGAAUCAGCUGCUGCCCAAGGGACACGUAGGAAGACAAGAAGCCGGAUUCAGGUCCAGCCUCUACUUUGUGUGAUAGUUGCCAUUAAGGAAAACUAAAUGGGUCCCUGAAUAACUGAUUCAUCUCACCCAAGGGUGAUGCUCCGACCUAAUCCUCUCCCUCUGGACCCUGCCCCUUAAAAGUUCCCGUCAUCAUCGCCAUACUGGAAAUCAUGCAUCUCGCAUGUGACUGUGGAACACUCAAGCUACAUCCAAACCAAACACAUACACACGUCAGAAGUGGUAACACACACCAAAUAUGGAUACAAGUGUGUAUAGUAACACUACAGUAUCUUGCCAGAGAAUGAUAAAUGCUAAAUUUAAAAUGGCCAUGAUGGGCCCUGCAUGGUGGCCCAUGCCUAUGAUUCCAGCACUCAGGAGACUGAAGCAAGAUCACUGUGAGUCCAAAGUCAUCUGGGCUCCAUAGUGAGUUCAAGGCCAGCCUGAAUUAUACAGUGAGACCUUGUUUUAGUCAGGAUUCACAAAGGAAAAGAUUUAAUACAGGACAUACAAUUUAUAGGAUUAUUUAAAAAUAUUCACCCAAAGGAUCAAAUGCAAGAGUAUAGAAGACCUGUCCGUACACUAGAGACCCAAAGAAUCCAGCUGAGGGCCUGGAUCCCAUGGCAAUGUCCUGCACAAGUCCAGCUAGAGGCCUAGAGCCAUGACAAUGUCUCAUGCAAGUCUGCAUCAAGGAUCUGCACUGGGAAGGCCCAAAAGUCAGUAGUGGACGAUAGAAAGUGCACCAGUAGGAUGAAGGAUCUUUGCCCACAGACAGGGAUCUGCACUGGAGCCAGGCAGCAAUGCUCAAGGCAGCCCAUGACCUGCUGGCAAGUUUUUCUGCAUAAUCUCAAAGGACACCCUGAGAUGACCAAAAGAAACUUGUUCACUUCCUUGGAACUACAAAAUCUGCAAGCAGCUCACUAAGUCACCCAGACUGGCCUCGACUUUGUGAUCCUCCUGUCUCCACCUCCCAAGAAGCUGAGAUUACAGGUGUGCACCACUACAACCAGUGGCCUGAAGCUACAAAAUUGAUCAAAUCCCACUCAGCUGGACACUCUGGCUCCUACUCUCAAGACGGCAGUCCCCAUUAAAGACAGAACAGAAGCGGUUCUAAACUCAAAUAAUAGGAAUAAUGGGUUUAUUGCCAGAGAAAUCCCCCAGUCCCAUUCAGAAAUGUUUUGGGUCACAGCGGAGGGAGCUGUCCUGGGUGGGCUUCUGUAGCCCUGGUGGGACCCCAGACCUCCCUGCCCCUUCGUGUAGUACGUUUGCCACCAUAUUCAUGUUCUUUCCUCUGGCUCAAAAAUGGUUAGUGAUUCCCACACAAGGGCAUCUCCCAGCUCCUCCCUGUUAAUCUCUCACCUCUGAGGGCUGAUUGCUCCUGCAGACCCAGUAUUUGCCUUCCUGCUCCUUCCCUCUUGCCAGUCCCAACAAGACUUUCAGCUUCCUCCAAGUCCCGCCUUCUCCCCUGUCACCCACUUGCAUCCCACUGUCCAUGCAGGACCGGGCCCUAAGUUUCCCUUACACUCAGAGCACCUCUCAGUUGUGCACUGAAUUCAUGAUACAUCCACAGCUUGAUCACGAGCACUUUGUGCACAGCCAAACAUCAUACCCUUUUGUGGUUUGCAAGCCACGAUUUUCAAAGAAAAAAAGAAGUAUACUUUGAAAACAAAACAGAUCUUUGUGGCACAUGGGGCACGUUUUUUUAAAUUUAUGACUUUUAAUUCACUUGAAUUUCAAAUACUAGAGGAAAAUGUAGGAGGUUUUACUACCUUAUCAAAGGAAACGUUGUUUAAUGAAAGAUUGGGAAACAGUUCUUUAGUGAUGAUCAAAUAGAAGAUAGUUAACAAAUACCCACUGAACAAGUCAUUGAUUUCAGUAAACCCCGAUUUGUUCUUCAGACUUCUAAUGGAGAAAUUUCAGAUUACUUAUUUUCAUGGAGAAAUAGUUAAUGACCUAUUGGUUAUAAAGUGGCCACAAAACUAAUGGUCAACAGUUGAACAAAUUUUUAAAAACUUACAAGACAAUCUUUAAGUAUUCUUAUUACCUACCAUUUCAGAUAUAUAUAUAUAGUGUGUGGUCUAUAUGUAAAUUAUAAAACAUAAUAAAUAAUAAAUCACCAAGUUUAAGAGAUUUCUUUUAUUGAUAGAUUACCCAUAACUGAAGUAUUCUAUUACCCUUUAAAACAAGUAUGCUUUGGGCGGGGGAUGUAGCUCAGCAGCACAAGAACCAGGGGGCAAGUAUGAGGUCAUGAGUUCAAUCCCCAGUACCAAAACCAAUAAAAUAAGUGUGCUUAGUUUGGCUCUAAUUAUAUAUACUUCAGUGAAUUGUUUUCGUUCAUUAGUAUAUAAAUUUAUUUAAAUUCUAUAGUCAGAAUUUUUGCCUGACUUAUUUGAAUGAUCUUGUUUCCAGCAUGCUUAUUUACUCAUCUCUUAAAUUUUUCCUUCUUUAUUUUGAAUGCUCUCACUUCACAGUCCCAGGAGAUAAUCUUUCUACUUCAUAUUUCCUCCACGUUGAACUGAAUAAGCCACUUAUGUGCUGAUGUUUCUAGUCUACUCAAGUCAUUUCGUUCCUUCUUUGUAUCGACUGACACUCCCUCUAGUUCUGUAUAACAAGCUUACUGCAUGUUCCUUCUUCCAAGUCACUGACAUAUAAAAUGAAUAAAAUUGGUCCUAA
Long non-coding RNA from Cavia porcellus (domestic guinea pig), 3221 nucleotides. RefSeq lists it as uncharacterized. The record is from RefSeq and is a predicted model, not a curated record. Lineage: Eukaryota; Metazoa; Chordata; Mammalia; Rodentia; Caviidae. The transcript is spliced from 4 exons.